RNAcentral lists this ribosomal RNA (502 nucleotides) under uncultured bacterium. RNAcentral describes it as "partial 16S ribosomal RNA". It matches the Rfam family "Bacterial small subunit ribosomal RNA", at positions 30 to 523 of the family's 1533-position model. The record is from RNAcentral.
AUUGAACGCUGGCGGCAGGCCUAACACAUGCAAGUCGAGCGGUAGCACAGAGAGCUUGCUCUCGGGUGACGAGCGGCGGACGGGUGAGUAAUGUCUGGGAAACUGCCUGAUGGAGGGGGAUAACUACUGGAAACGGUAGCUAAUACCGCAUAAUGUCGCAAGACCAAAGUGGGGGACCUUCGGGCCUCAUGCCAUCAGAUGUGCCCAGAUGGGAUUAGCUAGUAGGUGGGGUAACGGCUCACCUAGGCGACGAUCCCUAGCUGGUCUGAGAGGAUGACCAGCCACACUGGAACUGAGACACGGUCCAGACUCCUACGGGAGGCAGCAGUGGGGAAUAUUGCACAAUGGGCGCAAGCCUGAUGCAGCCAUGCCGCGUGUGAAGAAGGCCUUCGGGUUGUAAAGCACUUUCAGCGGGGAGGAAGGCGUUAAGGUUAAUAACCUUGGCGAUUGACGUUACCCGCAGAAGAAGCACCGGCUAACUCCGUGCCAGCCGCCGCCGUAA